AUGCCGCUGGGACUGGGGCGGCGGAAAAAGGCGCCCCCCUCUAGUGGAAAAUGAGGAGGCUGAGCCAGGCCGUGGCGGGCUGGGCGUGGGGGAGCCAGGGCCCCUGGGUGGAGGUGGGGCGGGGGGCCCCCAAUGGGCUUGCCCCCCCCUCCCCCAGCCCUGCGGCCCCGCCUCGUGUUCCACACCCAGCUGGCCCAUGGCAGUCCCACUGGCCGCAUUGAGGGCUUCACCAACGUCAAGGAGCUGUAUGGCAAGAUCGCCGAGGCCUUCCGCCUGCCAACUGCCGAGGUGAUGUUCUGCACCCUGAACACCCACAAAGUGGACAUGGACAAGCUCCUGGGGGGCCAGAUUGGGCUGGAGGACUUCAUCUUUGCCCACGUUAAGGGGCAGCGCAAGGAGGUGGAGGUGUUCAAGUCGGAGGAUGCACUCGGGCUCACCAUCACGGACAACGGGGCUGGCUACGCCUUCAUCAAGCGCAUCAAGGAGGGCAGCGUGAUCGACCACAUCCACCUCAUCAGCGUGGGCGACAUGAUCGAGGCCAUUAACGGGCAGAGCCUGCUGGGCUGCCGGCACUACGAGGUGGCCCGGCUGCUCAAGGAGCUGCCUCGAGGCCGUACCUUCACACUGAAGCUCACGGAGCCUCGCAAGGCCUUCGACAUGAUCAGCCAACGCUCAGCGGGUGGCCGCCCUGGCUCCGGCCCACAACUGGGCACUGGCCGAGGGACCCUGCGGCUCCGAUCCCGGGGCCCUGCCACGGUGGAGGAUCUGCCCUCUGCCUUUGAAGAGAAGGCAUUGAGAAGGGUGGAUGACCUGCUUGGAGAGUUUACAUGGGUAUCAGGGACACGGAGUUGGCGGCCACCAUGGUGGAGCUGGGAAAGGACAAAAGGAACCCGGAUGAGCUGGCCGAGGCCCUGGACGAACGGCUGGGUGACUUCGCCUUCCCUGACGAAUUCGUCUUUGACGUCUGGGGCGCCAUCGGGGACGCCAAGUCGGCCGCUACUAGGACUCCCCCCGGACCCUGCGAUGAUGACCCGGGCCCAACCUGGUGGGGGCCCCCAGCAGCGACACUGACAUCAGGACUCAAGCCUCCAGCCUGA
Rhinopithecus roxellana (golden snub-nosed monkey) is the source of this 1097-nucleotide RNA transcript. It is a transcript of the gene named PDZ domain-containing protein GIPC1-like, with no coding region annotated. The record is from RefSeq and is a predicted model, not a curated record. Lineage: Eukaryota; Metazoa; Chordata; Mammalia; Primates; Cercopithecidae. The transcript has 6 exons.